Molecule: ribosomal RNA, 382 nt
Filed under: uncultured bacterium
Lineage: Bacteria
Description: partial 16S ribosomal RNA
Rfam family: Bacterial small subunit ribosomal RNA
Source: RNAcentral
CCUACGGGUGGCAGCAGUGGGGAAUAUUGGGCAAUGGGCGCAAGCCUGACCCAGCAACGCCGCGUGAAGGAAGAAGGCUUUCGGGUUGUAAACUUCUUUUCUGAGGGAAGAAGAAAGUGACGGUAACUCAGGAAUAAGCCACGGCUAACUACGGGCCAGCUGCCGCGGAAAUACGUAGGUGGCAAGCGUUAUCCGGAUUUAUUGGGUGUAAAGGGCGUGUAGGCGGGAAAGAAAGUCAGAUGUGAAGACUCAGGGCUCAACCCUGGGACUGCAUUUGAAACUGUUUUUCUUGAGUGCCGGAGAGGGAAUCAGAAUUCCAGGUGUAGCGGUGAAAUGCGUAGAUAUACGGAGGAACACCAGUGGCGAAGGCGGAUUGCUGGAC